GCCUGGGUGGCUCAGUCGGUUAAGCGUCCGACUUUGGCUCCGGUCAUGAUCUCACAGCUCAUGGGUUCGAGCCCCAUAUUGGGCU
Molecule: transfer RNA, 85 nt
Filed under: Felis catus (domestic cat)
Lineage: Eukaryota; Metazoa; Chordata; Mammalia; Carnivora; Felidae
Also listed under: 3 other names
Rfam family: tRNA
About the family: Transfer RNA (tRNA) molecules are approximately 80 nucleotides in length. Their secondary structure includes four short double-helical elements and three loops (D, anti-codon, and T loops). Further hydrogen bonds mediate the characteristic L-shaped molecular structure. tRNAs have two regions of fundamental functional importance: the anti-codon, which is responsible for specific mRNA codon recognition, and the 3' end, to which the tRNAs corresponding amino acid is attached (by aminoacyl-tRNA synthetases). tRNAs cope with the degeneracy of the genetic code in two manners: having more than one tRNA (with a specific anti-codon) for a particular amino acid; and 'wobble' base-pairing, i.e. permitting non-standard base-pairing at the 3rd anti-codon position.
Source: Rfam by way of RNAcentral